Molecule: ribosomal RNA, 162 nt
Rfam family: 5.8S ribosomal RNA
About the family: 5.8S ribosomal RNA (5.8S rRNA) is a component of the large subunit of the eukaryotic ribosome.
CUAGUCUUAUCGGUGGAUCACUCGGCUCGUGGAUCGAUGAAGAACGCAGCCAACUGCGAUAAUUAGUGUGAACUGCAGAAACCUUCCUUGAACACAGAACUUUCGAAUGCACAUUGCGCCAUUGGAGUGACAUCCAUUGGCACGCCUGGUUCAGGGUCGUAA